This 791-nucleotide ribosomal RNA is filed under the name uncultured archaeon. Its description in RNAcentral is "bacterial SSU rRNA". It matches the Rfam family "Archaeal small subunit ribosomal RNA", at positions 88 to 879 of the family's 1478-position model. The record is from RNAcentral.
GCUCAGUAACACGUGGAUAACCUACCCUUAGGACUGGGAUAACCCUGGGAAACUGGGGCUAAUACUGGAUAGAUGAUUUUUCCUGGAAUGGUUUUUUGUUUAAAUGUUUUUUCGCCUAAGGAUGGGUCUGCGGCAGAUUAGGUAGUUGGUUAGGUAAUGGCUUACCAAGCCGUUGAUCGGUACGGGUUGUGAGAGCAAGAGCCCGGAGAUGGAACCUGAGACAAGGUUCCAGGCCCUACGGGGUGCAGCAGGCGCGAAACCUCCGCAAUGUGAGAAAUCGCGACGGGGGGAUCCCAAGUGCCAUUCUUAACGGGAUGGCUUUUCAUUAGUGUAAAGAGCUUUUGGAAUAAGAGCUGGGCAAGACCGGUGCCAGCCGCCGCGGUAACACCGGCAGCUCUAGUGGUAGCAAUUUUUAUUGGGCCUAAAGCGUCCGUAGCCGGUUUGAUAAGUCACUGGUGAAAUCCUGUAGCUUAACUGUGGGAAUUGCUGGUGAUACUGUUGAACUUGAGGUCGGGAGAGGUUAGCGGUACUCCCAGGGUAGAGGUGAAAUUCUGUAAUCCUGGGAGGACCACCUGUGGCGAAGGCGGCUAACUGGAACGAACCUGACGGUGAGGGACGAAAGCUAGGGGCGCGAACCGGAUUAGAUACCCGGGUAGUCCUAGCCGUAAACGAUGCGGACUUGGUGUUGGGAUGGCUUUGAGCCGCUCCGGUGCCGAAGGGAAGCUGUUAAGUCCGCCGCCUGGGAAGUACGGUCGCAGGACUGAAACUUAAAGGAAUUGGCGGGGGAGCAC